AUGGAGGUGACUGUGUGUUUUUUUGCCAGUCUGAUGUGCCCCGAAGACUUUUGGUUUGGGAACUUUAGGAGGUCACAGGAUAGGAUAAAAUUCAUUUUACUGAAGUAUACUGGUUAUGAAAAUUGCUUGUUCCAGUGGACGAUUUCACUACUUCAUUUACAGCAAAGUCCUGCUUCCUGUGUCAGGUGCAGGAGCCACUGCCUAACACCCAGAAAACCAAAAGAUAUUUGCCAAUGAACAGUAACUUGGAUGCUCAAAGGGUGAGUUGCAUUUAGAAAUGAUAUAUGUUUUUAUUAACUAUUCAGUAAAUUUUAUAGUCAG
Molecule: long non-coding RNA, 321 nt
Filed under: Aotus nancymaae (Ma's night monkey)
Lineage: Eukaryota; Metazoa; Chordata; Mammalia; Primates; Aotidae
Description: lncRNA (ENSANAG00000038645.1)
Source: RNAcentral